UUAAGUGACUAAGCGUACACGGUGGAUGCCUGGGCAGUCAGAGGCGAUGAAGGACGUACUAACUUGCGAUAAGCGCAGAUAAGGCAGUAAGAGCCGUUUGAGUCUGCGAUUUCCGAAUGGGGAAACCCAACUGCAUAAGCAGUUACUGUUAACUGAAUACAUAGGUUAACAGAGCAAACCGGGGGAACUGAAACAUCUAAGUACCCCGAGGAGAAGAAAUCAACCGAGAUUCCGGUAGUAGCGGCGAGCGAACCUGGAUUAGCCCUUAAGCACUCGGUGAAGUAGGUGAACAAGCUGGAAAGCUUGGCGAUACAGGGUGAUAGCCCCGUAACCGACGCUUCAUCGAGCGUGAAAUCGAGUAGGGCGGGACACGUGAUAUCCUGUCUGAAUAUGGGGGGACCAUCCUCCAAGGCUAAAUACUCCUGACUGACCGAUAGUGAACCAGUACCGUGAGGGAAAGGCGAAAAGAACCCCUGUGAGGGGAGUGAAAUAGAACCUGAAACCGUGUACGUACAAGCAGUAGGAGCACCUUCGUGGUGUGACUGCGUACCUUUUGUAUAAUGGGUCAGCGACUUAUAUUCAGUGGCAAGGUUAACCGUAUAGGGGAGCCGUAGCGAAAGCGAGUCUUAACUGGGCGCUCAGUCUCUGGAUAUAGACCCGAAACCGGGUGAUCUAGCCAUGGGCAGGUUGAAGGUUGAGUAACAUCAACUGGAGGACCGAACCGACUAAUGUUGAAAAAUUAGCGGAUGACUUGUGGCUAGGGGUGAAAGGCCAAUCAAACUCGGAGAUAGCUGGUUCUCCCCGAAAGCUAUUUAGGUAGCGCCUCGGACGAAUACUACUGGGGGUAGAGCACUGUUAAGGCUAGGGGGUCAUCCCGACUUACCAACCCUUUGCAAACUCCGAAUACCAGUAAGUACUAUCCGGGAGACACACGGCGGGUGCUAACGUCCGUCGUGGAGAGGGAAACAACCCAGACCGCCAGCUAAGGUCCCAAAGUAUUGCUAAGUGGGAAACGAUGUGGGAAGGCUCAGACAGCUAGGAUGUUGGCUUAGAAGCAGCCAUCAUUUAAAGAAAGCGUAAUAGCUCACUAGUCGAGUCGGCCUGCGCGGAAGAUGUAACGGGGCUAAGCAAUACACCGAAGCUGCGGCAAUGUCUUUUAGACAUUGGGUAGGGGAGCGUUCUGUAAGCCGUUGAAGGUGAAUCGUAAGGUUUGCUGGAGGUAUCAGAAGUGCGAAUGCUGACAUGAGUAACGACAAAGGGGGUGAAAAACCUCCUCGCCGGAAGACCAAGGGUUCCUGUCCAACGUUAAUCGGGGCAGGGUGAGUCGACCCCUAAGGUGAGGCCGAAAGGCGUAAUCGAUGGGAAACGGGUUAAUAUUCCCGUACUUCUGACUAUUGCGAUGGGGGGACGGAGAAGGCUAGGUGGGCCAGGCGACGGUUGUCCUGGUUCAAGUGCGUAGGCUUGAGAGUUAGGUAAAUCCGGCUCUCUCUAAGGCUGAGACACGACGUCGAGCUGCUACGGCAGUGAAGUCAUUGAUGCCAUGCUUCCAGGAAAAGCCUCUAAGCUUCAGAUAGUCAGGAAUCGUACCCCAAACCGACACAGGUGGUCGGGUAGAGAAUACCAAGGCGCUUGAGAGAACUCGGGUGAAGGAACUAGGCAAAAUGGUACCGUAACUUCGGGAGAAGGUACGCUCUUGAUGGUGAAGUCCCUCGCGGAUGGAGCUGACGAGAGUCGCAGAUACCAGGUGGCUGCAACUGUUUAUUAAAAACACAGCACUGUGCAAAAUCGCAAGAUGACGUAUACGGUGUGACGCCUGCCCGGUGCCGGAAGGUUAAUUGAUGGGGUUAGCGUAAGCGAAGCUCUUGAUCGAAGCCCCGGUAAACGGCGGCCGUAACUAUAACGGUCCUAAGGUAGCGAAAUUCCUUGUCGGGUAAGUUCCGACCUGCACGAAUGGCGUAAUGAUGGCCACGCUGUCUCCACCC
This 1982-nucleotide ribosomal RNA is filed under the name Vibrio cholerae HE39. RNAcentral's name for it is "bacterial LSU rRNA". It matches the Rfam family "Bacterial large subunit ribosomal RNA", at positions 1 to 2027 of the family's 2925-position model. The record is from RNAcentral. Lineage: Bacteria; Pseudomonadati; Pseudomonadota; Gammaproteobacteria; Vibrionales; Vibrionaceae.